This 497-nucleotide ribosomal RNA is filed under the name uncultured bacterium. RNAcentral's name for it is "partial 16S ribosomal RNA". It matches the Rfam family "Bacterial small subunit ribosomal RNA", at positions 28 to 507 of the family's 1533-position model. The record is from RNAcentral.
GAUGAACGCUGGCGGCGUGCCUAAUACAUGCAAGUCGAGCGAACGGACGAGAAGCUUGCUUCUCUGAUGUUAGCGGCGGACGGGUGAGUAACACGUGGAUAACCUACCUAUAAGACUGGGAUAACUUCGGGAAACCGUAGCUAAUACCGGAUAAUAUUUUGAACCGCAUGGUUCAAAAGUGAAAGACGGUCUUGCUGUCACUUAUAGAUGGAUCCGCGCUGCAUUAGCUAGUUGGUAAGGUAACGGCUUACCAAGGCAACGAUGCAUAGCCGACCUGAGAGGGCGAUCGGCCACACUGGAACGGAGACACGGUCCAGACUCCUACGGGAGGCAGCAGUAGGGAAUCCUCCGCAAUGGGCGAAAUCCUGACGGAGCAACGCCGCGUGAGUGAUGAAGGUCUUCGGAUCGUAAAACUCUGUUAUUAGGGAAGAACAUAUGUGUAAGUAACUGUGCACAUCUUGACGGUACCUAAUCAGAAAGCCACGGCUAACUACGUG